RNAcentral lists this ribosomal RNA (252 nucleotides) under uncultured bacterium. RNAcentral describes it as "partial 16S ribosomal RNA". It matches the Rfam family "Bacterial small subunit ribosomal RNA", at positions 524 to 776 of the family's 1533-position model. The record is from RNAcentral.
UACGGAGGGUGCAAGCGUUAAUCGGAAUUACUGGGCGUAAAGCGCACGCAGGCGGUUGGAUAAGUUAGAUGUGAAAGCCCCGGGCUCAACCUGGGAAUUGCAUUUAAAACUGUCCAGCUAGAGUCUUGUAGAGGGGGUAGAAUUCCAGGUGUAGCGGUGAAAUGCGUAGAGAUCUGGAGGAAUACCGGUGGCGAAGGCGGCCCCCUGGACAAAGACUGACGCUCAGGUGCGAAAGCGUGGGGAGCAAACAGG